Molecule: non-coding RNA, 21 nt
Filed under: Arabidopsis thaliana (thale cress)
Lineage: Eukaryota; Viridiplantae; Streptophyta; Magnoliopsida; Brassicales; Brassicaceae
Source: RNAcentral
UGUGUUUCACGUGUAUGCCUA